UACGUAUGGUGCAAGCGUUAUCCGGAUUUACUGGGCCUAAAGGGAGCGCAGGCGGUGCGCCAAGUCUGAUGUGAAACCCCGGGGCUCAACCCCGGGCAUGCAUUGGAAACUGGCGGGCUGGAGUGCCGGAGAGGUAAGCGGAAUUCCUAGUGUAGCGGUGAAAUGCGUAGAUAUUAGGAGGAACACCAGUGGCGAAGGCGGCUUACUGGACGGCAACUGACGCUGAGGCUCGAAAGCGUGGGGAGCAAACAGG
This 253-nucleotide ribosomal RNA is filed under the name uncultured bacterium. RNAcentral describes it as "partial 16S ribosomal RNA". It matches the Rfam family "Bacterial small subunit ribosomal RNA", at positions 524 to 776 of the family's 1533-position model. The record is from RNAcentral.